RNAcentral lists this ribosomal RNA (429 nucleotides) under Bacteroidota bacterium. RNAcentral's name for it is "Bacteroidetes bacterium partial 16S ribosomal RNA". It matches the Rfam family "Bacterial small subunit ribosomal RNA", at positions 355 to 776 of the family's 1533-position model. Lineage: Bacteria; Pseudomonadati; Bacteroidota. The record is from RNAcentral.
UAGGGAAUCUUCCGCAAUGGACGCCAGUCUGACGGAGCAACGCCGCGUGAGUGAAGAAGGAUUUCGGUUCGUAAAACUCUGUUGUUAGAGAAGAACAGCGCAUAGAGUAACUGUUAUGCGUGUGACGGUAUCUAACCAGAAAGCCACGGCUAACUACGUGCCAGCAGCCGCGGUAAUACGUAGGUGGCAAGCGUUGUCCGGCUUUAUUGGGCGUAAAGCGAGCGCAGGCGGUCAAUUAAGUCUGAUGUGAAAGCCCCCGGCUCAACCGGGGAGGAUCAUUGGAAACUGGUUGACUUGAGUGCAGAGGAGGAGAGUGGAAUUCCAUGUGUAGCGGUGAAAUGCGUAAAUAUAUGGAGGAACACCAGUGGCGAAGGCGACUCUCUCGUCUAUAACUGACGCUGAGGCUCGAAAGCGUGGGUAGCAAACAGG